UAAUACGUAGGGUGCAAGCGUUGUUCGGAUUUAUUGGGCGUAAAGGGUCCGCAGGGGGUUUUUUAAGUCUGAUGUGAAAUCUCACGGCUCAACCGUGAAACUGCAUUGGAAACUGAAAGACUAGAGUACUGGAGAGGUAAGUGGAAUUCCUGGUGGAGCGGUGGAAUGCGUAGAUAUCAGGAGGAACACCGAGAGCGAAGGCAGCUUACUGGACAGUUACUGACCCUCAGGGACGAAAGCAUGGGUAGCAAACAGGAUUAGAUACCCUGGUAGUCCAUGCCGUAAACGUUGUAUACUAGGUGUGGGAGGAUUUAUCCCCUUCCGUGCCCAAGCUAACGCGAUAAGUAUACCGCCUGGGGACUACGGCCGCAGGGCUA
RNAcentral lists this ribosomal RNA (377 nucleotides) under uncultured Ignavibacteria bacterium. Its description in RNAcentral is "bacterial SSU rRNA". It matches the Rfam family "Bacterial small subunit ribosomal RNA", at positions 521 to 896 of the family's 1533-position model. Lineage: Bacteria; Pseudomonadati; Ignavibacteriota; Ignavibacteria. The record is from RNAcentral.